GUGCUCGCUUCGGCAGCACAUAUACUAAAAUUAGAACGAUACAGAGAAGAUUAGCAUGGCCCCUGUGCAAGGAUGACACGCAAAUUCAUGAAGCGUCCUGUAUUUUU
Molecule: small nuclear RNA, 107 nt
Filed under: Jaculus jaculus (lesser Egyptian jerboa)
Lineage: Eukaryota; Metazoa; Chordata; Mammalia; Rodentia; Dipodidae
Source: RNAcentral